Molecule: ribosomal RNA, 253 nt
Filed under: uncultured bacterium
Lineage: Bacteria
Description: partial 16S ribosomal RNA
Rfam family: Bacterial small subunit ribosomal RNA
Source: RNAcentral
UACGUAGGGGGCAAGCGUUGUCCGGAUUUAUUGGGCGUAAAGAGCGUGUAGGCGGCUAGGUAGGUCCGUUGUGAAAACUCGAGGCUCAACCUCGAGACGUCGAUGGAAACCAUCUAGCUAGAGUCCGGAAGAGGAGAGUGGAAUUCCUGGUGUAGCGGUGAAAUGCGUAGAUAUUGGGAGGAACACCAGUGGCGAAGGCGGCUACCUGGACCGGUUCUGACGCUGAUGCGCGAAAGCGUGGGUAGCAAACAGG